This is a long non-coding RNA of Hibiscus syriacus, 687 nucleotides long. RefSeq lists it as uncharacterized. The transcript is spliced from 2 exons. The record is from RefSeq and is a predicted model, not a curated record. Lineage: Eukaryota; Viridiplantae; Streptophyta; Magnoliopsida; Malvales; Malvaceae.
AUCCCUAACCUCCCUCUCCCUUUCUUCUUCACUCAAUACCCACGGUGGCCACCUCAUCAAUGAAUCGAAGCCCUACGACAUCCUGGCCACUGCAUAUUGGUAGAUAUUCGCUCCAACUGGCCACCCCGAACCGACAUAGGAAUUAAGUCCUCCUAAACACGGCCGAAAUCGAACCCCAACUAGCCUCUCUUCCUCCUAUCACCGAGAACCAAACCGCUCCAAGAUCGGCCACUAACACCACUCAACAACGAUCUAAGACUCAAGUAAACGACUCUUAAAACUUCUCACCGACGACAACAACCCCAACGAACCCUCCCCGGCAGCAAGCAAUUCGGCGGUGCCAGAGUAUGGUUAUUGACAUGGUGGCUGUCAGGUCAAUGGCACAUCCUUGACUGGAGCAGGGCAGGCAUAGGGGCAUGGUGUUGCUGGGAGGUAAGGCAUAGGGAUAGCUGUUGCAGGAACCGGGUCUGGACCGGGUCGGAUCUUGGGUCGGGUCAAACACUUGGCCUGGAAUCGGGUCACCCCAGUGGGUUAAAAAAAUGGUGCUUACAAUAGAAUCGAAUGGAAUUUCAUGGAUGAUACACUAAGGCCAUCUCCAACCCUCAUCUCUAUUGUACAUCAUCUCUAUCUCUACUCUAAAGAUGAAACAGUAAUUCAUAUUUAGUACUAUCUCUACAUUACCACCAA